CAAUCAGUCUUGUUCAAGGUACUGAUCCAAAUCUAAAGUUCUCAUCUGUACACCUGGUUUUCUUUAUAAAUGCAAAUGGACAAAAUCUAUGUAGUGCUUUUCCAGACAUACUACCCACUUAAAGAACUUAACACUUCAGUCACAUAAACUCAUUCACAAUCACAUUCAUAUACCAAUAUGCAGAUCGGUAGGCUUUAGUCCUUCCAGUGAAGUGAUAAAUAAUUAACAGCUGAAUCAGAACUGAUGUUAUUUGGGAAGGUGAUAAGUCAAACUUGUAUUUACGUAUGGAUGGUUAGUUAACUUGUAUAAUGCAAAGUUACAUUCCAUGGAUAGUGUAUAACUUCCCUAUCCACAAUAAGUUGUGUCCACAACAAAUCCAUAGCUAAUAAUGUUUUUAUAGAUAGGUGGUGCACAUAGUCUGAAGCCAUCACAUAAAACACAUUGUUGAGAAAGACAUAAAGACACAGAUGGCGAGGUUUACCCCCAAAAGUAUUAAUAAUAACUUCAUUUGUAUGUGCCAACAUCUUGUUCCUGAUUAAUUUUUUUUUUUUUUUUUGUCAUAUUGAAAUGUUUGUAUUUCUUGUUAAAAAGUACUUCAGUAAUCUGAAAUUGAUUGUUAAAUUGAUUCUUAAGACGAUCACAGGAUGACAGGGAAAGACAGACUGAAAGUGAGAAUGGAGAGGAAUCUGUCCCUUCCACCAGUGGGGCAAGUCGCAGCUCUUCACGGCAACAAGUUGCAGAUAUAGUGGUGACACUGGAGACAGGUUCAGAUCAGGCUGGUCCUUCAACUGCUCUAAGCACACAGCAGCCUAAUCCUCCAGAUAUUCAGAGGGACCUCGGACAUGCUUGGAUUACAGAAGUAGUUCCAGCCAAAGCGUCUGAGCUGUACAUUGAGUCAGUACAUGAAGCAAACAAGGAUAAAGAGAGUCUUUCAUUUACCCUGAGUUUAAGAGAUACCCUGAAGGAAAGGAACCAUUCUGAGAUUCUACAAAAGGCCACGGGUGCAGUGGACUAGCCCACUGCGAUGUCAUCUCAUAGGUGAUGCUGCCAUUGGAGAGGGUGUUAAUAGACAUGUACUUUCAAUAGUCAUGUCAAACCUUCAGAAUGGAUUCUUGCUUGAUGACGAAACUGAACUGAAGACAUUGCUGUUUGAGGGUGAGCAGGACCAUCUCACUCCCUCUACAUCGAGGGUGCUCCUAGAAAGCGACUUUUUCGUGGUGGCGGGUCGAAUUAUCGGCCACAGCUUUCUGAAUGGUGGUCCUUGUCUGGUUGGUCUCAGCCAAGGAAUCAUCCAUGUGCUGUUUGGAGGGGAACCAGAAACAGCCACUGUAACUGAGUCAGAUUGUGCUGACCAAGAUGUCCGUGAGGUCAUAAGAAUGUUACAGGGAACAAAGGAUUUGUCAGAGGAGGAGAAAUCCGUGGUUCUCUCUUUGACGUUGCCAUGGGAUCUUCCUGGAGUUACAGUCAAUAACAGACAUUAGCUCCAAGAAAAAAUACUCCUCCAUGCUGUUUUGGAAAGAACAGCACAACAGGUGAAACAAAUCCGAAGAGGGCUGAAAGACACAGGUGUGUGGGAAUUUUUCAGUUCCAGGCCUGAUGCUGUGCCAGUACUUUUUCCAAGGCCCAGUGAGGCAGAGAUAACCCCACAGAUGGUAAUCGAUAACAUAAACUGGCCUAAAGAUGAAGAUAUAGAUGAAGACAUACUCUCGUUGGAUGAUCACUGUCUGAUCAUGAGCUUCCUCCGAAGAUUCAUAGAAAAUGGAACAUCAGACAUCCUCAAGAGUUUACUAACAUUCUGGACUGGCUGGGGUGUGGUAUGCUCCAAUCUCGAGGUCGAAGUUAUUGACUGCAGUCUCCCACAGUCGUCCACUUGCUUCCUGACUUUGAAGCUAUCCAAAAACCACAAAAACUAUGAAGACUUCCACCAAGACCUUAUGGCAAGCAUUUCUUCGGCCUAUUCUGGUUUUGGUCAGAUUUAAGCUGGGCCAUUUAAACAACGAAUGUUGUUGGUUAUUGGUAUUAUUACUUUUAAAUUGUUCUUAUGGUUCAGUCUCUUGAUAGACAUGGAUAUUCUGGAAUAAUCCACUUGUUAAUUAUGUAUUAGAAUUUGACAGUACUCAGCGUUGUUGUUGUUCUGAUCAACUAUAAAAACAGUUCCAUAUUAUUGUAGGACGUUUUCUGAAAACAUUUGCUUAAAAAAAGAGAUUAGACCAACAAAGUCAUGAAUAGACAUAGCUUAAUUACAAACGGUUAAAUCUGAUAUUAUCAACGAAUUCUUAAUGAAAGCUGAAAUGGUUUCAUAACAGUGAUUUUAUUACAUAUAUACAUAUCUGUGCAAAACAGGUCAAUGUUCACGUCUGGAUACAAGAUGCCUGACCUGAUAUAUUGUAUCUUCACAGCAAAUAUUGAAUAAAAAAAAACAAUUUGAACAGAAAAACUGUCAUUUCUAUUACAAAGAUCUAAAUGUCACAGUUGUUAUGCCAAAAGAGGCACAGACACAUGUUGAUGAGAAGCAACUACCCUCACCAAAAAGGAAUGUGUAUACAUUUCAAAAAAACAAACUUGCAACUACUCUCUAUCAAGCAAAUGUCUUUGGUAGCUGUAACCUAAAUAUUUCCAAAUAUUACAGUCAGUACAUCAAUUGUCUGUUGAUAAACAUUAAUCACAUUUGAAAACAAGCCAGUUGGA
Molecule: long non-coding RNA, 2688 nt
Organism: Archocentrus centrarchus (flier cichlid)
Lineage: Eukaryota; Metazoa; Chordata; Actinopteri; Cichliformes; Cichlidae
Exons: 9
Source: RefSeq, a predicted model, not a curated record